UACGGAGGGUGCAAGCGUUAAUCGGAAUUACUGGGCGUAAAGCGUGCGCAGGCGGUGAUGUAAGACCGAUGUGAAAUCCCCGGGCUUAACCUGGGAACUGCAUUGGUGACUGCAUCGCUCGAGUAUGGCAGAGGGGGGUAGAAUUCCACGUGUAGCAGUGAAAUGCGUAGAGAUGUGGAGGAAUACCGAUGGCGAAGGCAGCCCCCUGGGUCAAUACUGACGCUCAUGCACGAAAGCGUGGGGAGCAAACAGG
RNAcentral lists this ribosomal RNA (253 nucleotides) under uncultured bacterium. RNAcentral's name for it is "partial 16S ribosomal RNA". It matches the Rfam family "Bacterial small subunit ribosomal RNA", at positions 524 to 776 of the family's 1533-position model. The record is from RNAcentral.